Vicia faba (fava bean) is the source of this 294-nucleotide non-coding RNA. Lineage: Eukaryota; Viridiplantae; Streptophyta; Magnoliopsida; Fabales; Fabaceae. The record is from the annotation of a GenBank genome assembly.
AUGGGGGAUGAAAGAGCAUGGAAGCAUGAGAAAAUAUGUGAGAGACAUCCUUGGGGGUUGAUGCCUCCGCCGUCGCAAAAGACCGACCGGCCGGCCGCCACCCAAGGUACCACCAUUACCAACCCGGAGCUUCCAAGCGAUUUUGCUCCCUCUUAUGCGUGUUUUGAUUCGUGGGGGAGAAUUGGAGGUAGUGGUCUGGUUCAGAGGGCUUUCCCAGUUUUUUUAAUGUUUUUUUACUUCUUUUAUUACUUAGUCUACUUUUUUCUAUUUACAUCCAAUAUUUUGAGAAUUUAA